RNAcentral lists this ribosomal RNA (1343 nucleotides) under uncultured bacterium. RNAcentral's name for it is "16S ribosomal RNA". It matches the Rfam family "Bacterial small subunit ribosomal RNA", at positions 28 to 1378 of the family's 1533-position model. The record is from RNAcentral.
GACGAACGCUGGCGGCGUGCUUAACACAUGCAAGUCGAACGGAAAGGCCCUGCUUUUGUGGGGUGCUCGAGUGGCGAACGGGUGAGUAACACGUGAGUAACCUGCCCUUGACUUUGGGAUAACUUCAGGAAACUGGGGCUAAUACCGGAUAGGAGCUCCUGCUGCAUGGUGGGGGUUGGAAAGUUUCGGCGGUUGGGGAUGGACUCGCGGCUUAUCAGCUUGUUGGUGGGGUAGUGGCUUACCAAGGCUUUGACGGGUAGCCGGCCUGAGAGGGUGACCGGCCACAUUGGGACUGAGAUACGGCCCAGACUCCUACGGGAGGCAGCAGUGGGGAAUAUUGCACAAUGGGCGGAAGCCUGACGCAGCAACGCCGCGUGCGGGAUGACGGCCUUCGGGUUGUAAACCGCUUUCGCCUGUGACGAAGCGUGAGUGACGGUAAUGGGUAAAGAAGCACCGGCUAACUACGUGCCAGCAGCCGCGGUGAUACGUAGGGUGCGAGCGUUGUCCGGAUUUAUUGGGCGUAAAGGGCUCGUAGGUGGUUGAUCGCGUCGGAAGUGUAAUCUUGGGGCUUAACCCUGAGCGUGCUUUCGAUACGGGUUGACUUGAGGAAGGUAGGGGAGAAUGGAAUUCCUGGUGGAGCGGUGGAAUGCGCAGAUAUCAGGAGGAACACCAGUGGCGAAGGCGGUUCUCUGGGCCUUUCCUGACGCUGAGGAGCGAAAGCGUGGGGAGCGAACAGGCUUAGAUACCCUGGUAGUCCACGCUGUAAACGGUGGGUACUAGGUGUGGGGUCCAUUCCACGGGUUCCGUGCCGUAGCUAACGCUUUAAGUACCCCGCCUGGGGAGUACGGCCGCAAGGCUAAAACUCAAAGGAAUUGACGGGGCCCCGCACAAGCGGCGGAGCAUGCGGAUUAAUUCGAUGCAACGCGUAGAACCUUACCUGGGUUUGACAUGGAUCGGGAGCGCUCAGAGAUGGGUGUGCCUCUUUUGGGGUCGGUUCACAGGUGGUGCAUGGCUGUCGUCAGCUCGUGUCGUGAGAUGUUGGGUUAAGUCCCGCAACGAGCGCAACCCUUGUUCACUGUUGCCAGCACGUUAUGGUGGGGACUCAGUGGAGACCGCCGGGGUCAACUCGGAGGAAGGUGGGGAUGACGUCAAGUCAUCAUGCCCCUUAUGUCCAGGGCUUCACGCAUGCUACAAUGGCUGGUACAGAGAGUGGCGAGCCUGUGAGGGUGAGCGAAUCUCGGAAAGCCGGCCUCAGUUCGGAUUGGGGUCUGCAACUCGACCUCAUGAAGUCGGAGUCGCUAGUAAUCGCAGAUCAGCAACGCUGCGGUGAAUACGUUCCCGGG